GACGAACGCUGGCGGCGUGCUUAACACAUGCAAGUCGAACGGAAAGGCCCUGCUUUUGUGGGGUGCUCGAUUGGCGAACGGGGGUGUAACACGUGAGUAACCUGCCCUUGACUUUGGGAUAACUUCAGGAAACUGGGGCUAAUACCGGAUAGGAUCUCCUGCUGCAUGGUGGGGGUUGGAAAGUUUCGGCGGUUGGGGAUGGACUCGCGGCUUAUCGGCUUGUUGGUCGGGUAGUGGCUUACCAAGCGUGUGACGGGUAGGCCGCAUGAGAGGGUGGACGGGGACCAGAGUACUAAGAGACGGCGCAGACGGCUAUGGGAGGCAGUAGGCGGGAGUCUGACAGAACGGGGGGGAGCCUGAGGCGGCGGCGUCCGGAUCGUAAUGACGUGCUUUGGGUUGUGAACCGCUGUGUCCUGAAAUGUGGCGUGAGUGACGGUAAUGAAUAAAGAAGCACCGGCUAACUACGUG
RNAcentral lists this ribosomal RNA (468 nucleotides) under uncultured bacterium. Its description in RNAcentral is "partial 16S ribosomal RNA". It matches the Rfam family "Bacterial small subunit ribosomal RNA", at positions 28 to 507 of the family's 1533-position model. The record is from RNAcentral.